AGGGAGUUUGAUCCUGGCUCAGGAUGAACGCUAGCGACAGGCUUAACACAUGCAAGUCGAGGGGCAGCAUGGGAGGUGGCAACACCACCCGAUGGCGACCGGCGCACUGGUGAGUAACACGUAUGCAACCUGCCCCCUACAGGGGAAUAACCCCAGAGAAAUUUGGCCUAAUACCCCGUAGUCCGCCGCGCCGCAUGACGUGGCGGGGAAAGAGUUAUCGGUAGGGGAUGGGCAUGCGGCGCAUUAGCUAGUUGGCGGGGCAACGGCCCACCAAGGCUACGAUGCGUAGGGGUUCUGAGAGGAAGGUCCCCCACACUGGUACUGAAACACGGACCACACUCCUACCGGAGGCAGCAGUGAGGAAUAUUGGUCAAUGGGCGCGAGCCUGAACCAGCCAAGUCGCGUGCGGGAAGACGGCCCUACGGGUUGUAAACCGCUUUAGCCGGGGAGUAACAAGCGCCACGUGUGGCGCCAUGAGAGUACCCGGAGAAUAAGCAUCGGCUAACUCCGUGCCAGCAGCCGCGGUAAUACGGAGGAUGCGAGCGUUAUCCGGAUUCAUUGGGUUUAAAGGGUGCGCAGGCGGCGCGCCAAGUCAGCGGUCAAAUCUCCGGGCUCAACCCGGUGUCGCCGUUGAAACUGGCGUGCUUGAGUAGGUGCGACGGAGGCGGAAUGCGUGGUGUAGCGGUGAAAUGCAUAGAUAUCACGCAGAACCCCGAUUGCGAAGGCAGCUUCCGAGCACUCGACUGACGCUGAGGCACGAAAGCGUGGGUAUCGAACAGGAUUAGAUACCCUGGUAGUCCCU
RNAcentral lists this ribosomal RNA (802 nucleotides) under uncultured Bacteroidota bacterium. RNAcentral describes it as "bacterial SSU rRNA". It matches the Rfam family "Bacterial small subunit ribosomal RNA", at positions 1 to 798 of the family's 1533-position model. Lineage: Bacteria; Pseudomonadati; Bacteroidota. The record is from RNAcentral.